UGUGGUUAUAAUAGCAAAGAGGAUACCCCUGUUCCCAUUCCGAACACAGAAGUUAAGCUCUUUAGCGCUGAUGGUACUUGGUGGGAAACUGCCU
Molecule: ribosomal RNA, 94 nt
Filed under: Clostridioides difficile
Lineage: Bacteria; Bacillati; Bacillota; Clostridia; Peptostreptococcales; Peptostreptococcaceae
Source: RNAcentral